This is a long non-coding RNA of Xiphophorus couchianus (Monterrey platyfish), 2985 nucleotides long. RefSeq lists it as uncharacterized. The record is from RefSeq and is a predicted model, not a curated record. NCBI's taxonomy places the organism in Eukaryota, Metazoa, Chordata, Actinopteri, Cyprinodontiformes, Poeciliidae. The transcript is spliced from 2 exons.
UCCACUUUUUUCUUUUCCAAGUGUCUACGGUACAUCUAGCCUUUUAUGUAAUCUGUUUUUGUUCAGCAGAUUAUCAACUUUAUCUCUUGGUGAAACAUUUACAGUUCCUUGCAACAGUAUUUUUGAACUUUUCCACAUUUUGUCCCUCCAAGUCGAGUCUUAGAACUGCUAUUUAUUGGAAUCAUAGCUUCGUGUCUUUACGGGUCCAGCUUUCCACAUCUACUAGAAACUAGAACUAUUUUGACAUUUUACUUUGCAAUAUUGUCCAAAUUUAGACAGGAGAAUCUCUGAAACCAUCAGUUUAAAUAUCCAUUCGUUUAAGGUUUGGAACUUUUAACAUGUUUUCAUCAAAAUCAAGUGAAAGGGCCGCUCUGUCCUUGUUUUAAGUUUUUUGCAGCCUCCAGCAGGUCGAGUUCCAGGAUUGCCCUGUACUUAAAUGCACCACUAAACUUUGACCAGAUGUCCAGAGUAAAGACCACCCAAUCAGCAUGUUUUAACAAAUGUUGCUGGAAAAAGCAGUGAUUUCAAAAAUCAAUCUUGGCCUCCUUUUAGAUGGCUAAUCUGUAUUUAGUUCAGUGGGGCCAUUUUAAUGGUAAAAUGCCUCGAGUCUGCAAGUCCAUAUCUGUAGUGAAGGCAGGACAGGGAUGGCUUUCGUUGUUGGGUUUCGCAUUUCAGGAGAUGACUGGAUAGAAAUGAUUUAAAAGUAAUCAAAAUCUGAAAUAAGGUUAUGUUUCCAUUUACUAACUACAGAGAAACAUCAGUAUCGCAGCAAGGGAGCCCAUGUUUGCUGCUUGUUCCUCCUGAUAAGACCCUGCAAACGCAGCCUCCUCCCUCCUCGACACCAGAAGGCGUAAUGACUAACAGCUGGGGAGGCCGACUAUUUUCAAACCCAAAUGGGAAUGGAGAUGUACAGACGGCGUGUUAUUAUCUCCUCUGCUCGUGAAGCGAGCCCCGGUACCUGGCCACCCACUCACCAACAGUGAGUCACACACACUUUUCUCUGCUCCCACCGGCCUGUUCUGCUACCUAUAGGAUUAUGCGACUCAUUAAACCCACCUGGUAAAGAGAAAGCAGGUAUUCUUCCAGCAAUAAUACAUCCUAAAAGGAGGGAAACACUACAAACCAAUAAAACUUGAAGACUUUUUGGUACCUACGAAGAUGAUGACCUAAAUUGUGGAACUAUCCUGUUAAUUUGCCCAAAAUGGAAAGAUUAGUAAAAGAUUAGGGGUGUUAAUAGUAGUAAAAACAUGUCACAAUUCUCAGAUUCAGUGCAAAGAGUUGGUAAAAUGUUAUACCAAAAUCGCAGUGAAACUAAAAAAAGCAGGAAAAGACCAGCGCUGAAGCAAGAGUCAAUCAGCAAUAAUCCACGCUGGAGCAAAUCUCAGUUUGAAACAUACUUAAACUGAAGCACACAAUCAGGAACAUGCUGUUCCCAAUCAAUAUUUUUCAUGUUCACAAUAAAAAGAAAGUAGACAUCUUUUUUACUAUAAAGUGACCUGCUCUAAACAAGUUCUAAAAGCGCCAAUUCAACCUGAACAGAUUCAGUCAAAAAAUUUCAUAGAUUAAAAGAAUAAAAUAAGAACAGCCUGUAAAAACUAAAUAGCCAAUAAUUCAAUAGAUUGAAGAAACAGUAAGCAAGUGUUUUCUGUGUGACUUCAGUUUCUCAUAUCACCCAAUGUUUGUGACAAUACAGCUUCAGUUUCCUGCACUUGCAGGCAGUUAUUUAUGCACACCUUUCUAAUAUUCCUGCUACUGUAUUUCAAACGUUGAUUUUCUUCUUUUUUUUUGACAUCUUGUUGAAGAUCUGCUGCUGUUUUUUUUUUUUUAAAUCUUUGUCCCAUAGCUGAGACUCUUUGGGUCAUGCUUCAGCCAUCUGCCAACUUAUGCAACUAGCGGCAGUGGUUCACACAGCAUCAUCAACAUUUAAUAAAUAAAUGUGGAUUUGUUUAAGUUCCUAUUGAGCUCAGGUCUAGCUCAGAUAUUUUAUUAUGCCCCGAUACCCGAAACCCUAAAUUAAGCGCCAGUUUUGUCCAAUAUACUCUUCUAUGUAUAGCAAGGAUUUUAAGAAAAAAGGAAAACAAAAGGAUCCAAGGAAACAAAUAUCAUGGCUACGAGUUUUUACUUUUCAAAGUUAGCAGUCAGUUAAAUGUACAUUAUCAAAAAAAGGCCCAACUUUUUAUCACUUAUCCUCAAUCUCCAGAAAACAUACAAAAAGGACAAAACAGGACAUUAUAAAGCUGCACAUUUUGUACCAGAUACAAUAAUAAAAUACACAAUGCUACAUUAAGUGGUUAAAAAUACAAAGGGGAAAGAAUAUUGAUUUUUUUAAAAACAUCUUUAAAGAAUAUACAAUGUUAUUUUUUUAACUACUCAAGGAUUUUAGUAGAAAGUGCAUUCUAUAUAACAAAGAAAGGAGGAGGAGAAUCAUUUUGCAACAGAGAAAACGGACACAACGGGAAAAAAUAAAAUGACGAACGUAUUUCCAAUAAUACAUGAAGGGGCGUGUGUGAUGGCACAAAAGUAGUAGGAUCAUCAUUUGUACUUUGAAGGAAAGGUCCAAACUGAAGGCUAUUUUUCUCAAAAUGAAGUUAAGUACAUAGAUGUGUAUAUUAGCUAUGGUCCCUUGCACACCGUCCACCUCCACCUCAGAUUCUCCUCCUUUCCUUGCCUUAGAAAAAAAACAAAACAAUCCACUCUAAAGUAAAUAGCCUCCAUCCAUUUCCCAUACAGUCACAACUACAUUCUGCUCCACAAUGCAUUGUCACCUCCUCCCCUAACCCCGUUCCCUGCGCAUCACCCACGCAGCAGUAAAGUGCAGAGAAUAACAAAAGGCUUUAAAAAUAAAAGGAACAAGACAAGACUGAAAAUACCCCUACUGCAAAAUCCUGAAUCCCAACAGUGAGUCUACAGAGAUUGAAUGAUAGCAAAUAAUAUUGCAGCAGUAUUAAGACGUACAGAGAUGGCAGGCUAAUUGCAGGCCUGGCA